This 775-nucleotide ribosomal RNA is filed under the name uncultured Neocallimastigales. RNAcentral describes it as "partial large subunit ribosomal RNA". It matches the Rfam family "Eukaryotic large subunit ribosomal RNA", at positions 25 to 634 of the family's 3401-position model. Lineage: Eukaryota; Fungi; Neocallimastigomycota; Neocallimastigomycetes; Neocallimastigales. The record is from RNAcentral.
ACACUGACGUCGCGACGCAUAUCAAUAAGCGGAGGAAAAGAAACUAACAAGGAUUCCCUUAGUAACGGCGAGUGAAGCGGGAAGAGCUCAAAUUUGAAAUCUUCAAGGUUCUACCUUGACGAAUUGUAGUUUAAAGAAGUGUUUUCUGUUAGUGGAGUGGCAAAAGUUCUUUGGAAUAGGACAUCAUAGAGGGUGAGAAUCCCGUAUUUGACUCAUUCUUUCUAGCUUUGUGAUACACUUUCAAAGAGUCGGAUUGUUUGGGAAUGCAGUCCAAAAUGGGUGGUAAAUUUCAUCUAAAGCUAAAUAUUGGCGAGAGACCGAUAGCGAACAAGUACCGUGAGGGAAAGAUGAAAAGAACUUUGAAAAGAGAGUUAAACAGUACGUGAAAUUGUCAAAAGGGAAGCGUUUGACACCAGUGUUGUUUUUCCGAAAAUCAAUUACGAAUGGCUUGAUUUUGUGUUGUAUUGACCUUAUCAGCUUUCUGCACUUUUUUCGAGUCUUUCUUAAUGCACUUUUUCGGUUAACGAGUCAACAUCAAUUUCUUUUGUUGUAAAAGAGUAUUCGGAAGGUGGCUUUCUUUUCGGAGAAAGUGUUUAUAGCCCUAUACUUCUACAAUCGGAGAGAUUGAGGUCUGCAGCGUAGAUCCUUCGGGGUUAGAUACAUUUGUGCUAAGUUGUAGCUUUUCAUAGACAACUUGUUGACUAUGUUUAGUCUGCGGCUUACUCGCUUGUGCUAUUUUACCUACGCUUAGGAUGUUGAGUCGUAGAGCACGCAG